GACGAACGCUGGCGGCGUGCUUAACACAUGCAAGUCGAACGGUAAGGCCCUUCGGGGUACACGAGUGGCGAACGGGUGAGUAACACGUGGGUGAUCUGCCCUGCACUUCGGGAUAAGCCUGGGAAACUGGGUCUAAUACCGGAUAGGACCCUGGGAUGCAUGUCCUGGGGUGGAAAGAUUUUGCGGUGUGGGAUGGGCUCGCGGCCUAUCAGCUUGUUGGUGGGGUGAUGGCCUACCAAGGCGACGACGGGUAGCCGGCCUGAGAGGGUGACCGGCCACACUGGGACUGAGAUACGGCCCAGACUCCUACGGGGGGCAGCAGUGGGGAAUAUUGCACAAUGGGCGCAAGCCUGAUGCAGCGACGCCGCGUGAGGGAUGACGGCCUUCGGGUUGUAAACCUCUUUCAGCACCGACGAAGCGCAAGUGACGGUAGGUGCAGAAGAAGGACCGGCCAACUACGUGCCAGCAGCCGCCGUAA
Molecule: ribosomal RNA, 478 nt
Filed under: uncultured bacterium
Lineage: Bacteria
Description: partial 16S ribosomal RNA
Rfam family: Bacterial small subunit ribosomal RNA
Source: RNAcentral